Non-coding RNA from Notechis scutatus (mainland tiger snake), 2027 nucleotides. Lineage: Eukaryota; Metazoa; Chordata; Lepidosauria; Squamata; Elapidae. The record is from RefSeq and is a predicted model, not a curated record.
AGGUGGCGGGUGGGGGGGGGGGGGGCGGGGGCGGUAUAAAGCGCGCUGGUCCCUUGGCUGGCAGUGUUCAGCCCGAGCCGCUCGGAGGUUGAGCAUGGAGCGGCAGCCGUUGGUCCGCUGGUCCGGAGCCCGCAGAAGUCCCGGGCGCCAGCUCAGUCGUGUAUUUCUUCAGUUGCUUUUACCAGCCCCCUGCCAGAAAAAACAGAUGCGCCUCCAGGUGGAUAGGAAUAGUACUUAUGGUCUUUGGGGCAGACUCCCAACCUGGACCCUCCUUGGCACCGUGUGUGCAGCUGGCAUUGGAGGGACCUUUCAGUACGGAUACAAUGUUUCUCUUAUCAGUGCCCCCACUCAGCACAUCCACAAGUUCCUCAAUGAUACCUGGCAGAGCCGUUACCAGACCAAGCUGAGUUCCAGCACACUGACUCUUCUCUGGUCCACCAUUGCUUCUAUUUUUUCCCUAGGCGGGUUCUUUGGGGCUCACCUUGGGGGCAUCAUGGCUGGCUGGCUGGGCAGGAAAGGAACUCUGCUGGUGAAUAACCUCCUUGCCCUCUUUGCUGCUGCCCUGAUGGGGGCCAGCUUCCCAACGGGGCUCUUCGAACUGCUGAUCGUUGGGAGGUUUCUGAUCGGAAUGAAUACAGGCAUUGGACUCUGUGUGCAGCCUCUCUAUAUAGGUGAAGCUGCCCCCAGACACCUUCGAGGGGCCAUGGUGAUGGGCAGUUCCAUCUUCCUGACAGGAGGGAUUUUGACCGGGCAAGUGAUGGGUCUAAGGGAGCUGCUGGGGGGAGAGGAACACUGGCCCUUCCUCCUCUCGAGCUGUGGCCUGCCUGCCAUAAUCCAACUCCUGAGCCUUCCCUGCUUUCCAGAGAGUCCCCGUUUCACAUUACUAGACCGAGGGGACGAGGCCAAGGGCAUCAAAGCACUGAAGCGCUUCCACGGUCCUCUGCACUACCAGAAGGAGCUGGAGGACAUCCAGAGAGAGAACUUUGCCCUCGGAGGGGAGAAGGCAAAAAAGCCCUGGGAGCUCUUUGCUGACCGUAGCAUCCGCUGGCAGCUGAUUGCAGUCAUCUGUCUGACCAUGGGCCAGCAGCUCAGUGGGAUCAACGCAAUUUACUUUUAUUCCAGUUACGUCUUUGCAGAGACAGGGAUUCCCCCCGAGAAGAUCCCCUAUGUAACUUUAGGUACAGGGAUGUGUGAAUGCCUCACUGCCCUCAUCUGUGGCUCGCUAGUUGAAUCAUUGGGGAGGAGAGCUUUGAUCUUGGGAGGCUACUGCCUUAUGAUGCUUUGGUGCAUCAUCCUGACCAUCUCCCUGACCUUCCAGGUUUAUGCAUGGGCACCAUACCUGAGCAUGGCUUGCAUAUUUGCCUUCAUCUUGAGCUUUGGCCUUGGACCAGGUGGCGUGACAAACAUUUUGACGACCGAGUUGUUCAUGCAGUCCUCACGCCCUGCUGCUUACACCAUUGCAGGAUCAGUGAGCUGGCUGAGCUUCUUCGCUGUUGGCAUGCUCUUCCCCUUUAUUGUGGUACGUUGGUAGUUUCAUGAAACUCUGGUUCCAGCCUUGUGCUUUGAAUUAUUUUGAUCACUUGUGGUUGACUUAGCUUCCAAGGGACACAAGGGAUUGACCGAUUGGACUUGUCAUUUCCUCUGAAGUCAGGCAUGAAGUGAAUUGAAGCUUGACACCUGAGAAAAAGAAUCUGCUUUGGCCCUCAUCUCUUUCAAGGAAAGUCUCAGACCUGCCACAACUUAAACCUCUAAAUAAAAAUGACCCUUGCUCCAUUUGUUGGGAAAGGGAUAUAUGUUAUUAAAGAUCAAGUUUAUUGCAGUAGUGCAAAGCCAGAACUGAAAAUUUCGUGCCAAAAUCCCUACUUUUCUCUCCUUUAACUGUCUCUCAUUGCCCACCCCAGUGCAAACAAUCUGGUUCAGACAAGAUGUUUUCGUAACAGUCAGUCCAAGCAUAGUUUGGGAAGUGGACCUCUCCUCCUUCCAGCUGGGUGACCUUGAGGCAAUGCUUUCAUUUCCCCAAGCAUUCU